RNAcentral lists this ribosomal RNA (484 nucleotides) under uncultured bacterium. Its description in RNAcentral is "partial 16S ribosomal RNA". It matches the Rfam family "Bacterial small subunit ribosomal RNA", at positions 30 to 507 of the family's 1533-position model. The record is from RNAcentral.
AUUGAACGCUGGCGACAGGCCUAACACAUGCAAGUCGAGCGGAUGAAGGGAGCUUGCUCCUGGAUUCAGCGGCGGACGGGUGAGUAAUGCCUAGGAAUCUGCCUGGUAGUGGGGGAUAACGUCCGGAAACGGGCGCUAAUACCGCAUACGUCCUGAGGGAGAAAGUGGGGGAUCUUCGGACCUCACGCUAUCAGAUGAGCCUAGGUCGGAUUAGCUAGUUGGUGGGGUAAAGGCCUACCAAGGCGACGAUCCGUAACUGGUCUGAGAGGAUGAUCAGUCACACUGGAACUGAGACACGGUCCAGACUCCUACGGGAGGCAGCAGUGGGGAAUAUUGGACAAUGGGCGAAAGCCUGAUCCAGCCAUGCCGCGUGUGUGAAGAAGGUCUUCGGAUUGUAAAGCACUUUAAGUUGGGAGGAAGGGCAGUAAGUUAAUACCUUGCUGUUUUGACGUUACCAACAGAAUAAGCACCGGCUAACUUCGAG